Molecule: ribosomal RNA, 475 nt
Filed under: uncultured bacterium
Lineage: Bacteria
Description: bacterial SSU rRNA
Rfam family: Bacterial small subunit ribosomal RNA
Source: RNAcentral
AGAGUUUGAUCAUGGCUCAGAUUGAACGCUGGCGGCAUGCUUAAUACAUGCAAGCCGAACGGUAACAGAUUCUUCGGAAUGCUGACGAGUGGCGGACGGGUGAGUAAUACAUAGGAAUCUGCCCAUGUAGUGGGGGACAACUUGGGGAAACUCAAGCUAAUACCGCAUAAUUCCUACGGGAUAAAGAGGGCCACUGCUUGCAAGCUCUUGCUACUGGAUGAGCCUAUGUCGGAUUAGUUAGUUGGUAAGGUAAUGGCUUACCAAGACAGCGAUCCGUAGCUGGUUUGAGAGGAUGAUCAGCCACACUGGGACUGAGACACGGCCCAGACUCCUACGGGAGGCAGCAGUAGGGAGUAUUGGACAAUGGGCGCAAGCCUGAUCCAGCAAUGCCGCGUGUGUGAAGAAGGCCUGCGGGUUGUAAAGCACUUUCAAUUGGGAAGAAAGAUUAUGAGUUAAUACCUUAUAAUAUUGACGU